Non-coding RNA from Podarcis lilfordi (Lilford's wall lizard), 71 nucleotides. Lineage: Eukaryota; Metazoa; Chordata; Lepidosauria; Squamata; Lacertidae. The record is from the annotation of a GenBank genome assembly.
GGCUGUGGCUCAGCAACAAGAGCAUCUGCUUUGCAUGCAGAAGGUCCCAAUGUCAAUCACUGGCAUUGCCA